Long non-coding RNA from Aquila chrysaetos chrysaetos, 733 nucleotides. RefSeq lists it as uncharacterized. The transcript has 3 exons. NCBI's taxonomy places the organism in Eukaryota, Metazoa, Chordata, Aves, Accipitriformes, Accipitridae. The record is from RefSeq and is a predicted model, not a curated record.
UUCAAGGCUCUUCCAAGAAGAUUGUUCUGGUUUACUCUGCGGUUGCACCUCCUUUCCCCUCCAUCUCCCCAUCCCACUCUGCUCCCUCCUAACACCCACGUGCACAGCAGAGCAAUCUUCCACUCCCUGCUGUGACUUUCUGGGGAAGAUGCUGUCAUGUGAAAUCCUGGAAGAGAGUUACCACAUGGAGCUCUCUGAAAGCAUUGCGUGUCCCUUGCAGAACAGGCCUGCAGACAGAGGAACGCUGCGCUCCCCUCCUCGAAAUCCUGAAUGCGCUUAUGGAUGGAGGUGGGGGGAGUGGGGAAUCAUCUUGUAAGCUUGGGAGCUGCCCACACACAUGGCAAGUCUUGUCAGCAGCUGAUAAAAGAGGUGGGAGGUGGGGAGAUUUUGAGGGGGAAGAACUUGGAGGCUCGCGUGCCCACACAGCUCACCAUCCUGUCUUCUCCAGGGCUCAGCCAUGGGCUUGGCCCCGUUGCUGACACACGUGCAUUGAAAGGAGACCCCGAACAGGGACGUGGAGAUCACUACCGUCUACUUCAGCAAUGACGUAAAGGUCUGCAGAUCCCCAGGAUCCACAUCCAGAGAGCUCCCGGCAAUAAUUGUGCACCUGGCUGCCUUCCCCAGAACUAUUGCUUUCUGCACAGGCAGGGGCUGCGCCCAUGUGUACCCUGAAUUGUACGAGCUCUCUACAGACGAGGGAUUUGUGUUACUCGCCCACAGCAGGCAAUCUUUG